Triticum aestivum (bread wheat) is the source of this 124-nucleotide non-coding RNA. NCBI's taxonomy places the organism in Eukaryota, Viridiplantae, Streptophyta, Magnoliopsida, Poales, Poaceae. The record is from Rfam.
UAAAUACUCCCUCCGUCCGGAAAUACUUGUCCCAGAAAUGAAUAAAAUUGAUGUAUUUAUAACUAAAAUAAGUCUAGAUACAACCAUUUUGAAGACAAGUAUUUUCGGACAGAGAGAGUAGUAC